UUCAUUGACCUUCAAACUGUCUUGAUGCAAUUAAUCUGUUUAUUAAUGUCAUGAAAAUCUAUCUAUCUAUCUAUCUAUCUAUCUAUCUAUCUAUCUAUCUAUCUAUCUAUCUAUCUAUCUAUCUAUCUAUCUAUCUAUCUAUCUAUCUGUCCAUCCAUCCGUCUAUCCAUUCACCAUUCAUCUUAUACAUUAAGUGUAUAAUAUGCUCCAGAUGUCAUGUGAUCAUUCACACUAUGAAGGGAUGUAUAUUUUCUCUAGAUGUUACAGUGGAAAUUUUUGAUUUCUCUAAAGGUAGAUAAAUGCCAGAUGUACGUAGCCUUCCUAAAACUUAUAGUUCCUGUUCUCCUAUUUGUUCACCAAAGCACAGACAUGAUGAGGAAGUAGUUGUCAGCACUAUGUCACAGACUGCAUAGUCGGAGUACAGAGAGACGUCUUCUUUUUUCGAUUAUUUUGAUGGACAACGCUGCAUAAGUGCAGUUUGUCAAGUGGGACUCUAGAUUCUCUGCUGUUAUUGUUGGAAAAAUUAUUCUCUCCAGAUUGAAUGAGGUUACAGUACUCGUAAAAAAUGGAUUAAAGUGAAUGUAAAUGGCGUUUCAAAUUGGAGACGCUGCAGUCGGAUUACAGUAAAGACACAGACGACAGUUGAAAAAUAGUGACAUUCUUCAGGAAAACUCGACAGAGCAAAGCUGUCCUUGUGGCGACUGACGGCGUGAACCAGAAACCCAGCUAACUGCUUCUCCAGAAGCUCCACGACAGCUUUGGGGUCUCCUUUCCUCGCAGGGCCUUCCAUCAUCUGCUUCACGCUCUCGUCGGACACGGGCUGAGGGUCGCUGCUGAAGGAGACCACCAGGAAGUCCAGCAGUUCUCUGGCCGUUUCCUGAAGGUUCUCAUCUUCUUUCUCCUUCACAAGCCUCUUGAUGUCCAGUUCAGCUUGCUCUGGAAACGAAUCAACGCAUCUUUCUAUCAUUUCCUUCAUUUUCGUCUCAAU
This is a long non-coding RNA of Puntigrus tetrazona (Sumatra barb), 988 nucleotides long. RefSeq lists it as uncharacterized. NCBI's taxonomy places the organism in Eukaryota, Metazoa, Chordata, Actinopteri, Cypriniformes, Cyprinidae. The transcript has 3 exons. The record is from RefSeq and is a predicted model, not a curated record.